GGUUCCACGGUGUACUGGUUUAGCACUCUGGACUUUGAAUCCAGGCACCUGGUUCGAAUCCCGGUGGGACCU
Molecule: transfer RNA, 72 nt
Filed under: Rhododendron simsii
Lineage: Eukaryota; Viridiplantae; Streptophyta; Magnoliopsida; Ericales; Ericaceae
Rfam family: tRNA
About the family: Transfer RNA (tRNA) molecules are approximately 80 nucleotides in length. Their secondary structure includes four short double-helical elements and three loops (D, anti-codon, and T loops).
Source: Rfam by way of RNAcentral